GAACCUCAGAUCAGGUAGGGAUACCCGCUGAACUUAA
Molecule: ribosomal RNA, 37 nt
Filed under: Corynelia uberata
Lineage: Eukaryota; Fungi; Ascomycota; Eurotiomycetes; Coryneliales; Coryneliaceae
Description: partial 28S ribosomal RNA
Source: RNAcentral